Molecule: unclassified non-coding RNA, 226 nt
Filed under: Hevea brasiliensis (rubber tree)
Lineage: Eukaryota; Viridiplantae; Streptophyta; Magnoliopsida; Malpighiales; Euphorbiaceae
Source: RNAcentral
GGCCGCACAGGAAACACGGAAACGUAGGGCUCUCUGCAAUCUUACAGAAGAGAAAAUAUCCCUACGAGCAGAGAAAGAUAUAGAACUCGGACCAGAUAUCCCAUGGACUGCCUGUGCCUCGAUUCGAGCUCGGCUCGAGAUCACCGGUCCGGCGACGAAGGCGGACGCCAUGGAAGCCAUCGAUCGAUCCGGAGAUGAGAGAGAAAGUGAGAGAAGUGGAGAGAGA